RNAcentral lists this ribosomal RNA (207 nucleotides) under Triticum aestivum (bread wheat). RNAcentral's name for it is "partial small subunit ribosomal RNA". Lineage: Eukaryota; Viridiplantae; Streptophyta; Magnoliopsida; Poales; Poaceae. The record is from RNAcentral.
AUGAUCAUCGAGAGCGAGCAGGAAGAGACAGUGUUUGACACUGAAUCAUACUACAGGCAGGGUCCUCUAGCCGAAGUUGAUCACCAUCUACCGGCAACAAGGACUGCCUACCUCAGUAUGCGUCAGGAGAUCCGAGACCCACAUGUGCAUCAUCAACUGCGGCAGGAUCUGGUGGAGCAUCUAUGGAGGAUCAAGGGCGACGCCUAG